Molecule: long non-coding RNA, 2281 nt
Organism: Cyprinus carpio carpio
Lineage: Eukaryota; Metazoa; Chordata; Actinopteri; Cypriniformes; Cyprinidae
Source: Ensembl
GGCAGUUCUUUUCCUUCAUAAAUUAUCAGAUUUACAAAGAAAUAUUAACAAAAUAAAUCUAAAAUCUGUGUCAUUUUCAAAAGAUACCUUAGACAAGAGCACCAGAAAUGUCCUUAUAUUAUUACUGUUCCACACUACACUCUCAGAAAUAAAGGUACAGUGAGGGUACAAUUAAGUACUUUAAGGUACAAAUUUCACAAAUGUGCCAGCAAAGGAACAAACAUGUAUCCAGCUGAGUACCAAAAAGUACCUUUCCAAAGAAAAGGGGUACACAAUGAAAUAUGCAUGGUGAAAGGUACAUAUAUGUACCCUUUGAAAAGGUACAUUGUCAUAUAAAGUAAUAGUUAAGGUACAACAUUCACAAAUGUACCAUUAAAGGUCCUAUCGUGUUCCCAUGGGGUACUUAGAAGUACCUUUUGGGUACACAUCCUGUAGGGUACAAAAAAGUACCUUAUUCAAGUCAAAGGGUACACUUCCUGUGGGGUACUAAGAAGUACUUUUCAAGUUACAGGGUACACAAUCCUCUGGGGUAGCAGCUGCCUUUUCUAAGACUGAUAGAGCCUUUGUCAUAAUUUGUAAAUGUGGUAUGCUGAAUAAUCCUUUGUGAUAAGUGCAUAAUUAUUAUCACUAUCAGUUUUCGUAAGUAUUUUCAUUUGUUUCUGCUAAGGAAUUAUUUACAGAUUUAUACUCGAUUUUUAUAAUUAUUAUCAUUAUCGUUUUCAUUUAAAUAAUUGUUGCAUAUAUUUUGGGUUCUAUAAUAAGCACUAUUGGUUCAAAUUAAUUCAAUAUAUAUUAUUAUAGUUAAGAUGGAUGUGUGUGCUUGUUUGUGCGGGCGUGGGCGCGGCAUUGCGCGCAUUUAGAGAAGGAGUUCUCGCGAUACGUUUCAUUCAAGAAAAAGCAACGCUGAUGAUCGCGUCGCUUAAACUUCUUGAUUAAUGUCAUCCUUUACAGGUCAGCGGUCACGCCUCUUUCUUUCACUCGGCACGGCGGCAGUCGCUGGAGCCUGCAGGACGCGUGACAGCUCAACAAUGGCCCUGCCAACUUUAUCCUCAGAUGAGCUGAUCCAAACAUGACAGAAGGUGGUGUAACUAUGACAGAAGUUGAAGCACAGAAAUUCAGAGGUGAGUAAUACUGUCGUUAGCUAACGUAAAUUUACAUAUAAGUGACACUUGCGGCCCGCUGAUUAAAGAUGGCUGCACGUUAUCUCCAGUUAGAUCGAAAUAACAUUAUAUCGGGACUUAAUUGUAAGUUACCACUAACGUUAGUUACAUGUAGCUAGUUGUAAAGAUUGUAAAGAAAAAAGCAUGACGUUAGCUGACCUUAGCUAGCUUAGAGAUGGCUACAGCUAUCGUUAGCUAGCUCGAGUUCCUCGUACAGCCAACGUACUCAACUGCAAAGUUGAUUUAAAGUUAAGUUGGUGCCCAAAUAGUGCUGCAGCUAUGUAGAUAAUCAAUUAUAUAAGUGUUUAGUGUAUGGGUAUUGUAUAUUUAUAAGUUGAUGUUCAAUUCCAUUUGUGCACGCGGAACACAGUUUAACGUUAGAAGAUGGCGGCUAUGUUGUGUACGUUAGAAUAGACUAGUUGCACGUGGCCGCCAUUUUGGAUUUUGGACCAGCGAGUGUACGGUUAGACACUUCCGGUUUCUCAUUACGUCCUGUGCAGGGAGCCGGAGAAAGCCGAAAUGUAUCUUUUAUAGUUGUUUAUAGAAUCAAUUAUCAAUUAAAAUACUACUAAGAUCCGUAUUACUAUCACACAAGCGUAUGGCAAUUAAAUGCACGGAUGCAUAGUCAGAUUAAUGAAUGAAAUACCACUGUUCACGAACAGAAGAUUGUAUUUGACUCAUGCUGCAUACACAUACGCAAUGACAAUUAUGCCUACUGUAAAUAUAGAGUUACAACUACAAUUAGAGUUGUUUGCAUAAAAUGCACUGUGAACAUUCACAUGUUUGCCCCAUGUCUUCUUUGCUGUAUUCUUCAGGGUGAACACAACACACCAUACCCAAUUGUCCAGGUGACCCAAGAAGACUGGAAGUCCACAUUUGAGGGACGAAGCUCCUGUUCCCUGAAGGUAGACAGGGUCGAGGUGUGUGAAGGCAUGAAGGUAGAGAAAGCCAUGAUCUCCUCGUUUUAUUCAUAUUUUGUUUUCAAUCUUGAAUACCAACCCAAAAACAAGAACACUCUGACCUUCCUCCAGCGAUGCAUUGCGAAAAUGCCAUCCAAGAUAACCAUGUCUUUCUUUCCUCAGUGGGAGAGAAAUUGUUUUUUGAGGAAAACAUUUCUGGAU